This is a small nucleolar RNA of Lolium rigidum, 80 nucleotides long. RefSeq annotates it as small nucleolar RNA Z199. Lineage: Eukaryota; Viridiplantae; Streptophyta; Magnoliopsida; Poales; Poaceae. The transcript has a single exon. The record is from RefSeq and is a predicted model, not a curated record.
GGUUCAAGUGAUGAUUGAUAAACUGCAACAAUAUGACAGGAGUUGAACUCCCGUGAUUCGUAGUUUUAAGUCUGAUGAUU